AACGAACGCUGGCGGCAUGCCUAACACAUGCAAGUCGAACGAGACCUUCGGGUCUAGUGGCGCACGGGUGCGUAACGCGUGGGAAUCUGCCCUGGGGUGCGGAAUAACUCGGAGAAAUCCGUGCUAAUACCGCAUAAUGUCUUCGGACCAAAGAUUUAUCGCCCUGGGGAUGACGCCCGCGUAGGAUUAGCUAGUUGGGUAGGGGUAAACGCCUAACCAAGGCGACGAUCCUUAGCUGGUCUGAGAGGAUGAUCAGCCACACUGGGACUGAGACACGGCCCAGACUCCUACGGGAGGCAGCAGUGGGGAAUAUUGGACAA
This 320-nucleotide ribosomal RNA is filed under the name uncultured bacterium. Its description in RNAcentral is "bacterial SSU rRNA". It matches the Rfam family "Bacterial small subunit ribosomal RNA", at positions 29 to 371 of the family's 1533-position model. The record is from RNAcentral.